This 253-nucleotide ribosomal RNA is filed under the name uncultured bacterium. Its description in RNAcentral is "partial 16S ribosomal RNA". It matches the Rfam family "Bacterial small subunit ribosomal RNA", at positions 524 to 776 of the family's 1533-position model. The record is from RNAcentral.
UACGUAGGCAGCAAGCGUUGUUCGGAAUUACUGGGCGUAAAGCGAGUGUAGGCGGUUCGAUAAGUUUGGUGUGAAAUCUCCCGGCUCAACUGGGAGGGUGCGCCGAAGACUGUCAAGCUAGAGUGUGGGAGAGGUAGGCGGAAUUCCUGGUGUAGCGGUGAAAUGCGUAGAUAUCAGGAGGAACACCUGCGGUGUAGACGGCUUACUGGACCACGACUGACGCUGAAACUCGAAAGUGUGGGGAGCAAACAGG